UUAGUUUAUCUGUCAGAAGAUUGAAUGAAAUUGGUUAAAAAGAGAAAAGUCAGAUCUUUUCUUCUUCUUUCCAAACUUGAUUCAUUUGUUGAAGACUGCCUUGUUUGUGUGCUCUCUAGUACCUUAGAGUUUGCUUAUUUCCACUGAAAAUAGGAGCGGAGUCUUGUUCCGUGAAAAACAUGACUCUGACCCGAUAGUGGAUUUCCUUGCAUGAUAACUAGCUAGCCAUAGAUAAAAAAGGAAUUCCUUUCAAAACCCUUGGCUGUAACACAGACACACAGCACAUGAGCUGCCAUUUCUUUGAUUUUUAAAACCAUCUCAAAGUGAUUCAUGAUGAAUACAAUAUCUAAAUGGAUUAUAUGGGUAAUUGUCCUUCGGAGUCACAGCUGGAGAAUCAUUCAGUGGAACAAGGGCUUGUUCAAAUGAUGGAUGUUAAAAGUUGUGCUGUGGUCUGCACGCAUUUUAGUGGAAAAAAUGUCCUUCAUCCCAUACACGCACGCGAGGCAUGUCCUCCCCCAUCCUCCUACUAAAAGGCACGCUCCCUGACUGCUGUAAGUGGUUUGGAGUGCCUGUGCAACCUGCACCUGGAAACAAGGCAAUGUAGGCUGAGACUUGGCUGCUCAGGAAACGCCGCAUUUCUUCCCCUGCAAUACUUUAUACUUUGAUGGUUUUAUGAUGGAUUGAGGGGAGAGUAUCCUGGAAAAGAUGGGGGGGGGGAGAAGGGGUGAAAAUGGGUGUGCGCAGCUAGCUCAGGUCACCAAUGCCUCUGUAGUCCAACAUCUGCUUCCAUUUGAGGUGUCUGCAAUAAGCCCAGUGACUGAACAUCAGAGGCUGCGGUUCUUCGCCUGACGCUUGUGUCACCAGUAUCUGGGGUGCUGUGUUGCCAGUCAUAGCAUGUCAGAAUCCUGUUCUACAAACCUAAGGAGAAUGGAAACUUAGAACCGAAUAUAGCUCAUCAUUAGACGAAUAUCAGACAAUCAGUGGUUUUAAAGGGCAGGGAGUAAGUAAAACAUGAGGAAAUGUCCUCAGUUCACUUUUUGAUGAAUGUAUCUGUCCCUCUUGUUUCGCUCCAUGGUGGCUAAUAUAACGGAUCCCAUUUCUUGGAAGGAAUGUACUCUUCCAUAGAGAUGUGAAAUUCAUAUUGAUUAUGGAGCGUCUUGAGUUUCCUGUCCGUGACAGGGAUGAUAUUGGCUAAAGCCUGCCUUGGCUGUAAAGUGCAGCCAAAUCUUUUCAAUUAUCUGUACAACGGAUAGAUCAUAUUGAAAGGUUUAUAGGCCAGAAUUGCCGUAUUUGACCUUCUGUUGGGAAUGAAAUCAUUCAGUGUGAAAAAAUGAGUGACAUCUACACAGACACAAGGCAAUUAACUGAACAUUUGCUUGUGACUGGGACGAUUCCACACAGGAAACCCACCUGUUUGCAUGUGAUUGGAUUUUUUUUUAAUUGCAUAUGACUGAAAUCUUUAAAACAGCCCUGAUAACUGUCCAUAACUGUCCAUAAUCAUGCGCUUAACCUUUUUUAGCUUUUUAUUAUGGCUUUCUUUAUGAAUUUGCAGGUGUGAGACCAUGUUUUUUUGACUGUAUGUCAAAAAGGUGUAACUCUGUAAAUUCCUUAGAAAUGUCUGCAGGUACAGACUUACAUUGUCAUUUUCAUUACUACAUACCUUUCUUAUUAGUUUCAUAGAAUAACUGAGUAAUAAUCAAAGAAUUUAAGGGUUUACCCCUCUAUGUUCUAAACCCAUUAUUCAGUUAUUCGUUGUAAAUCAUAUUAUUCAAUAAUGUCUAUGAAUUAUUCAGCAACUAGAGAGAAAGUUAUAUAAAAGGUAUGUAAUUACAGGACUGAGGAACGCAAGUCUGGAGCUGUGGACAAACCCUGGCCAUUUCGGAGGCACACGCAUUUCGUUUGUUCAGCAUUGUCUAUCCUGCCACUAAACCUGCUGUAACUACCGCCGCCUCCAAUCCUGUCUUAAAUUUGAGUGGAACAUGUGCAGAUUGGUGGAAGCUUCAGCCACAGUGUGACCUUUCGCACCAGGAAGGUUUCAUCGUCAGCAUGCUAUCGAGCCGACAGGCAAGGUGAGCAGCAGCAGGGGCUUGGCGCUGCCCACAGCUGUUGACAUUGGCUGGGGUGCACUGAGGAAUGCAGCAGGCCUUGCUGAUGACUGCUUCCCCCUUCACUGUUGGGCCUGAGCCACUUCAUUGCGCCAGCUGUGAGACCCCACUGAGCCAUUUCUCCUCGAGGUCAGCUGGAGGUGCCCUCGACCUGCCCGAUUGUCUACACUCAUAAAUAUCUUAUAAAAUAUGCCUGUGGUUAAAUGCUGAUAGAAAAAUACUUGAUUUGACUAGUUUGUCACAGCCAGCUUUAGGAGUUAGGAAAAAAUAAUGAGUAUGCAUGAGGGCUCUGGGAUCUCCCACCUAAUGAGCUGGAUUUUCUUUACCUUUGGCUCAACAGAGCAUGCGGUAUAACAAUGUGAAGCAGCCCAGCUGCCUGGGGUGAAGUAGCCUGGAAGGUCAGAGCAUAUCCUCAGUGCCUCGUAGAGCCGAAUUCCUGUGUGGCAAAGCAGUAUGCAACAAGUUGCACAAUACAUUCCAGAUAACUCCAGCCAGUUCCUUUAAUUUCGCUGGGGACACAAUUAAGAUCAAGGACGUCAGAGACGGCUGAAGGGCGGAUGUUUAAACAGAGAUCAGUUCAUCUCUUUGUAAGUCUGCUUAAUGCUAUUUGCUGUCAAAACCAUAGCCAUUCCUGACAUUCUUUGCAGGGACACACUGUCUUGAUUUGAAGUUUGUGAUGUUAUAAUCUUUAGAUUCUGGUGUAAUUCCAUACAUUUUGUUGGUUUAACCACGUGCUUAUUGUUCAGUUAUCCAUCUUAAUUCGGGGUAUUCGGGAACUAAAGUGUAACUAAUAGGAAAAGGUAAAGAGUUAUAAGUCUGGACCUGCAGAUGGGUUGAAGGGGUUAAACAGGCAGCAGUCAUUAUGCAAACAUGUUACAGCUCUUAGUGGCCAGGUGUUGUAUGUAAAAUGUGUCUUGGAGAAUUGAAUUCUUUCCUUUAAUUCAUUGCAUUGUUCAGUGCUCUGUCUCUCCUGGGCUUAAUCAUUUGUAGUGCAGUUUUACUGAAUGAGUGAUUGCCACAAUUCUAUUCAAAGUAUACCCUGAAUGUAUGUAUGUAUGUAUGUAUG
Molecule: long non-coding RNA, 3171 nt
Organism: Tachysurus fulvidraco (yellow catfish)
Lineage: Eukaryota; Metazoa; Chordata; Actinopteri; Siluriformes; Bagridae
Exons: 2
Source: RefSeq, a predicted model, not a curated record